This 4704-nucleotide long non-coding RNA is filed under the name Citrus sinensis (sweet orange). Its description in RNAcentral is "long non-coding RNA (CSIN_LNC003484)". The record is from RNAcentral. Lineage: Eukaryota; Viridiplantae; Streptophyta; Magnoliopsida; Sapindales; Rutaceae.
AGGUUUAUAGGCCAACUUUAUUUUAAUAUAUAUCGUUUAUACUUCUUAUUUUAGUAUAUGCGGUUAUAAAUUAAAUUUUUUAUAUGAAAUUUUCAGGUAAUAACUGGUCAGAGGGUCUUCUGCUUCCUCCGUUUGGCAGUAUUGCUGAUGAUGAUGUCAUGAACGACAAUCUUGAUUUUCUUAAUGUCCCCCAAUAUGGAAGAAACCCCGACUACAUGGGUUAAGUGCAGCACUGCUUUUUUUUUUUUCUGUUUUGUUUAAUUAAAUAAAUGAUAGGUAUACUAUUACCUAUCAAUCAUGACAAUGUUUUAGUAUGGUUUAGUUCAACUUAUAAGAUUUCUUGAGACGUACAAGCAAUCUUUUUGUUUACUUUUGAGCUAAGUAUUUUCCUGAAAAAGGAAAUAAAUCAAUAAAAGUUAUUGUGUGUGUCAACAUAUUGGUUCUAUUAGUUUAUACACGUCGGUUUUAAUUACGAUCUCUCUUCCUAAAUGUUGUACUUUUUUUUGAAAUAAACUCAAAACUUUGUUGUAUAAAAAACUCUUAUCACUUUCAAUCAUAUGAUGGUUACAAUUUAAUCAUUUAUUCAUAACAUCCUCCUGGUCCUCCAUUGAGGAUAUUAAAGUGUGCCAUUCUGUAACCCAGAACUAUCAUUUCUUCCACCUCUACGAUAUCUUGUAAUGUUACUUGCAGCUUCAUAAGCCACAGAAACAUCAUCAAAAUCAACAAAUUGUUUUUUUUUUUUUUUAGGAAAGUAAUAAGAAAAAUAAAAGCUGCAUUAUUUUAUUGGCCACAUUGGACUCCUAGGCCGGGUAAUCUUGUCAUCUCUACUCGUAGAGUCUUCUCCCAUGGUACUUGCAUGGUUCCAUCUUUUAACUCUAGUAGUAUUUUGUUUGGAAAAUAACCCAAUAUAAUAUCUUCAUUCAAGAAAAUUGAGGACUGAAUUUGUGGUGCUUUUAUCAUAUUAAAUUACAUUUAAUUAUCAAUAUUUAUUGACUGAAAUCAGAAGGGUGUUUGAAUCAGAUAUGAAUUCUCUCUUAAUCAAUUUUUUUUUCUAAAUUUUGUAAGAUAUUAUGGCAGAUUUCAUUUAAAUUGUUUUAUAGUUAGGAUUUAAUUUAUUUUGGGCUUUCCUUAUUGUUUGAAUCCGAUGAAUUUCAUAUCAUCUUGCUGGUGCUUCUUCUGAUCUUCUUCUCCCUCCCUCUCUCUCACUUUUUUUCUUCUCUCUCACAGACCUAAAACUUUGACGAGCAAAUUUGAAAACGAAAUAUCAGGACGGAAAAGCCUCAACAUAUUAAAAAAUUCGGAUAAUUUAACUCUCGUAGCAUUGAUGAAUUUUGGUGUUCUGAUGCGAUUCAAGUUUCUCAUAGAGCCAAAAAAUGGCAAUUCAAGCCAAUUUUUUUAUCCAUCAAUUGAAAUACAUGUUACAUAUGCAGCAGCCCGUAAUCGAAAAUAACUUAAUUUGUUUUAAAAAUUCUUUAUGUUAGACUAGAAAUGAAUCCAUUCUUGUUAUUGCGUAUCUGCAAUUUAACUUAUGCUGCUAGUUUACAAUUUAUUUUAUUCACAUAAAUGAUCGUUCCUUUUUCUUAUUCUCAAUUAAAUUUUGGUUCCUAGAAUGAUAGUUAAAAAAAUUAACAAUAAUAAUCGAUGUCGCAGAUCAAUUAUCAAAGUUUGUUUGUGUGAACAAGAAAUAUGAGAAAAAGUUUGUUAGUUAAUUGUCUCUUAGUUUUAGAAUUUUGAUUAACCAAUAAAACAACGUAUUUUAUUGUUUAAUAAAACAAGUUCAAAGUAAAUUCAAUCCUAGUCAUAUUUUGAUAUUUUUAUUACAUCGCAAUUAAAUUUAAGACAAACCACAUUUCGGCAAUUAAAUUUAAGACAAGCCACAUUCUCCACAUGAAAUAUUUUUGUCGCGUCGUGAUUAAAUGAUUGAGUCUCACGUAGAAGUCUGUCACUAACCAUAUAUUUUUAUAAAUUUAUCAACACAAAAAGAAAAAAAAAAUGAAGUAUUUGAAAUUUAUCUGGGGCUAAGCAGUAACAUUGGAUGUUGCCUCGGAUGUCCUAUAUCAAGGGCCCGAUUAAUAAAAUUUUGGGCCCUAGGCAAAAUUUCUAAAUUAGCCCUUUUUAUUUAAAUGAAAGUUAAUGUGAGAUUAAUUUAAAUUUUUACGAUUAAUAUGAAUAAUUUAUUUUUUUAGAUAUAAUUCCUUUACAUAGUUUGUAUCUGUAUUAUUUCAAAGAUUUUUUUGGGUUAUGUUUAAGCAGGCUUAUUUUUGAGAGAUUAUGAAGAAUAAGAGAUUGUGUUUCAAUUGGAAAUAACAAAAAUUUCGUUGCAUAAUUUUUUUUAAGCAUUAAAGAAAUAAGUUAUUGACGGAAAUUUCACUUUCAACAUAGAGAAUAUCCAACAUUUUAAACAAGAAAAUAAAUAAAUUCUGAUUUUUUAACUGAACUAUAUAUUGAGGUGGGGCCAAAAUUUUUGGAGAGCAAAUAUAAUAACUCAAUUUCUAAAUAAUGAAUAAUGACUCAAUUUCUAAAUAAUGAAGUAAAACAUAAAUUAGGGUUUUAGUAGGAAAGUAUAUUAGAUGGGACCUUGAUUUUAGGGGAAGGCAUAGGCAGUUGCCUAAAGAGUAGAGCUUCUAACACCCCUUUUAAACUUGUAACAAACCCCAAUUUUUUGUUUUUUUAAGUCUCUUUCUUUUAUGAAAAAUACAGAAAAGGACAUAAAGUUAUAAUGAAAUUUUAAUUGAACUUCACUACUGUAUAGAAUACAUUUUGUAAACAAAUUUUUCAUAAUAAAUUUUUUAAUAAAUAAUUUAUUUCUUUGUUAUUUUGUUUUUAUCAGCAAAUUAAUUAUAAUAUCAUAGGAUUAGCAAAUAGUCAAGAUUCAAGAUUUGUUAAGCUAUUUUAAUGUAAUCAAAUUCAUAUUUUUCCUUUUAGUAAUUCUUAGUAAUAAUAGAACUAUUAUUUUAAAAGUAGGGUGAUGCAAGAAUAUUAAAACGGUGUGAAAAGCAUUACUCUUGCCUAAAUUAUUCCAAGGUUGAACCGGCGUGUCUAAUUACCACCCUCUAGAGAAAGGGGAAAUUUUUUUUUCCGAAGACAACCAUGUUUUGGGUAUUUCUACCGACACUCUACAAAAUAAAUGCUGGAAGAAAAUUAAUACUCUAUUAAUUGUUAGGGACAAAUCACACUUCCGUUGAGAAUAGACCUUCAGUUAAGUAUACCGGUUUCGACAUCCCUCGACUCUUGAGCUUUUCUUUGAAUAUAAGUUGGGUUCGUGGGUUUUUAUAUAAUAUCAGAGUUAGAAUCGUACAUAAGUGAGUCCACACUACCUUACCACAUCGAUUGAGAAUAAAUAUUGAGUUCAAUAUUAAACCUUCAACCACAAGGAUAAAACUAAUUAAGGCCCUUGAGGGGCUUCAAUACAUCCUCAACUAUUAAAUUCAUGGAAAUUCAUAUUAAUUUAAUGGAGUUGAACUUUUGGCACCCCUUUGAAUAUGUCUUAAAACACAUUUUCUUUACUUAUCCCAUUAAAAUUGUAUAAAGAUUGCACACUUUCUCAUGAAAUCCCUAUGAUUCUAAAAAUAACCCUGAUUUCUUGUUAAAUAAACACCAAUGCAGAUGCGGCAAUAAAAUAGUUAAUUUAAAAAAAAAUCCCUAUCUGAGAGACAGAAAGCUAGAGGAUUUCAAUAUGGAAUAUUUAUGAUCAAUAGAAGAAUUCAAGUGACUGGAGAAAAUUCAGAUUGUUCAAAAUGGGUUCUCAAACGAGAUAAGCCUCAGGUAGUAGACCUCACCAACAUCAGUACCAGACUCAAUCCAUUGAAUCGGUCUCGUCUUAAGCCUAACAGCUCCCUUCUAAUAUAAUCUAGUGAGAACGGUGAGGUGCUUGGUAUAUCAUACACCAAAAAUCAACGAUGCUUGGACUUUCAAGAAAAAGAGAAAAACAAAUGCAUGCACGGGGAAACGUACUAAUAAAAAGCAAAUCAUAUAAUUUACAAAUUAUUAUAGGCUUGUAGCCAUAAGAUCGAGAGAAACUAAAACAUUUCUUGCAUUUUCUGGCCAUAUUUUCUAAAUGAAGGGAUGGUCCAUUGCUGCUCUGCCAUACUGGAUCUCAAGAUGUCAUUAACAAUAGGUCUCAAGAUGUCGCUAACAAGGUGUCACUCUGAUACCGACAGGUCUACCACUUAGACAUAACACUUGCCAUAUAAAAAUUUCUCCUAUUUUUGCUAUUUCCUUCGUAUCUUGCAUUGAAUUAUUGCCAGCAAAUGAUAUUUCGAGUCAAAAAAGUAUAUUCAAUUAUUGCAUAUAUGCUCCUAGGUAAUUUGCACAAUUGAAUUAUAGCUGUUAUUCUACUUAUUUACACAAUUGAUUAAUUGUACGCAUCCAUUGCAAGACUUUCGCACUAGGUUUCAAUUUCAACCACAAAUCCUAGCUCUAGAUAAAAAUGAUGUGGUCGUAGAGAUUUCGAAUGUAUUCACUUUGUGAUUAACGGAAGCAUUGCUUUCAUUUGUAAGACGUUGUCAUCAGAGAUUAAUUAAUUAAUCAUCAUUUUGCUAAAGGAAAAAGAAUGAAAAAAGCUGCACUAUUUUAAAGGCCAUUUGGUAUAUGACCACUUCGCAUUGGACUUGGAGACCGGGUAAUUUUGUCAUCUCUACUCCAAGAAUCUGCUCUCAUGCUACUUGCAUGGUUCCAUCUUUGAAGUCUGGUACUGUUUUGUUU